This 40-nucleotide transfer RNA is filed under the name Solanum linearifolium. RNAcentral's name for it is "partial tRNA-Thr". The record is from RNAcentral. Lineage: Eukaryota; Viridiplantae; Streptophyta; Magnoliopsida; Solanales; Solanaceae.
CAUUACAAAUGCUAUGCUCUAACCUCUGAGCUAAGCGGGC